RNAcentral lists this ribosomal RNA (253 nucleotides) under uncultured bacterium. Its description in RNAcentral is "partial 16S ribosomal RNA". It matches the Rfam family "Bacterial small subunit ribosomal RNA", at positions 524 to 776 of the family's 1533-position model. The record is from RNAcentral.
UACGUAGGGUCCGAGCGUUGUCCGGAAUUACUGGGCGUAAAGGGCUCGUAGGCGGCCAACUAAGUCAUACGUGAAAUCCCUCGGCUUAACCGGGGAACUGCGUGUGAUACUGGAUGGCUUGAGAUUGGGAGAGGGAUGCGGAAUUCCAGGUGUAGCGGUGAAAUGCGUAGAUAUCUGGAGGAACACCGGUGGCGAAGGCGGCAUUCUGGACCGACAUUGACGCUGAGGAGCGAAAGCCAGGGGAGCAAACGGG